UACGGAGGGUGCAAGCGUUGUUCGGAAUUACUGGGCGUAAAGCGCGUGUAGGCGGUCUAGCAAGUCAGAUGUGAAAUCCCUUGGCUCAACCAAGGAAGGGCAUUUGAACCUGCUAGACUUGAGUACGGGAGGGGGAAGCGGAAUUCCCGGUGUAGAGGUGAAAUUCGUAGAUAUCGGGAGGAACACCGGUGGCGAAGGCGGCUUCCUGGACCGAUACUGACGCUGAGACGCGAAAGCGUGGGGAGCAAACAGG
RNAcentral lists this ribosomal RNA (253 nucleotides) under uncultured bacterium. Its description in RNAcentral is "partial 16S ribosomal RNA". It matches the Rfam family "Bacterial small subunit ribosomal RNA", at positions 524 to 776 of the family's 1533-position model. The record is from RNAcentral.